Molecule: long non-coding RNA, 359 nt
Filed under: Olea europaea subsp. europaea
Lineage: Eukaryota; Viridiplantae; Streptophyta; Magnoliopsida; Lamiales; Oleaceae
Source: RNAcentral
CUGAUCGCGACUAUCAAGUCGGGUAGAAGCACCGACCCAUGUUCCUGAAAGUACGUCUCGUACAGCCUAUUACUUCUCUCAAUGGCUGUAUCGUCGCCCGUAAUCCUCAGUCCAGUGAUCAAUGUAAACUCAAAUGUCGAGAAACUGACGACCUUGCCCCGAGGUUGAACUGGAGGGAAUCGCCAUCGACUGGCCUCAAAAGCCGACAUAGAAGUGUAUUGAUGAUCUGUCUUGAGUACUGCACCUCUCGCAACUGGUACAAUGGCCAUAAGAAGGACUGUCGUAGCAUAUUUCUGUGCUGAUCAUCGAGCAGCUCCAACACAGCAGUAAAACUCUCAAAGCUACUGUUCCAAGUAGCC